GACGAACGCUGGCGGCGUGCUUAACACAUGCAAGUCGAACGGAAAGGCCCUGCUUGCAGGGUACUCGAGUGGCGAACGGGUGAGUAACACGUGGGUGAUCUGCCCUGCACUUCGGGAUAAGCCUGGGAAACUGGGUCUAAUACCGGAUAGGAGCCAUUUUUAGUGUGAUGGUUGGAAAGUUUUUUCGGUGUAGGAUGAGCUCGCGGCCUAUCAGCUUGUUGGUGGGGUAAUGGCCUACCAAGGCGGCGACGGGUAGCCGGCCUGAGAGGGUGGACGGCCACAAUGGGGAUGGGAAUCGGCCCAGACUCCCACGGGGGGCAGCAGGGGGGAAAAAUGGAAAAAGGGGGGAAGCCUGAUGCAGGGACGCCGCGGGGGGGAUGACGGCCUUCGGGUUGGAAACUCCUUUCGCUAGGGACGAAGCUUUUUGUGACGGUACCUAGAGAAGAAGCACCGGCUAACUACGUG
Molecule: ribosomal RNA, 465 nt
Filed under: uncultured bacterium
Lineage: Bacteria
Description: partial 16S ribosomal RNA
Rfam family: Bacterial small subunit ribosomal RNA
Source: RNAcentral